GAGCCGUAAGCACAGUGGUUGUGCAACGCCAUGAAAAGGCGUAGGUCGGGGGUUCGAGUCCCUCACGGCUCA
This is a non-coding RNA of Candidatus Woesebacteria bacterium, 72 nucleotides long. NCBI's taxonomy places the organism in Bacteria, Candidatus Woeseibacteriota. The record is from Rfam.